Molecule: long non-coding RNA, 1195 nt
Filed under: Heterocephalus glaber (naked mole-rat)
Lineage: Eukaryota; Metazoa; Chordata; Mammalia; Rodentia; Bathyergidae
Description: lncRNA (ENSHGLG00000045605.1)
Source: RNAcentral
GUAAGAUUCCUGUUGGAUCUUUAAAAAAAAAAAAUAUAUAUAUAUAUAUAAGAGGCUAUUGGUUUAACUAAAAUCAACAUUAAAAAGAAGAAAGUGGACAGUGAAGGUGAUGGCUUGUUCCGUGUUGAUGCAUGAGAUUCUUCAGAAUGAAACACCAUUUGAAUAAUAAUUACAUUUUUUCAUAGCUUCCUUGUUGGCAUCUGUGUAAGCUCCAUAAAACAUGUGUCGUACAUCCCUGAGGGAAGUGGAUUGUGCUAGGUACUAAUAAGGGAUUGAUUGGCAUUCCUGUUAAAGGGGGACACCCUGACUAAAUGGGAGAGAGGAACAAAAGGGUUGAGGAUGGAAAAAUAGAUGUGCCUGCCUUUGAGGUCUCAGAAAAGAACUUGUAAAUACCAAGAUCCCCAAAAUGGUGUUACUGAUGUAUAACAGAUGUGAACUAGAGAGCAAUAAAUCAAAGAGACAUUGAAUUCAUAUGGUUUUUAUUACAGGGAGUACUUAGAAGUCUUUGCUCAAUGUCAUCAGCCUGAGGUUAUGAGCCUUAGAAAAGCUCAUUCCCCCAAGAAUCUGUUUCUUUAUCUGCAUAGAAAAACAACACCCACUCUGCUGUGCUGCUGUGAGACGUGAAAAAACAGUUCAAUGUACAAGUGCCCAUCAGUCAAUAGAUGUUAGUGACGUAAAUAUAUUUCCUUUCUUGCCAUUCAUUCUAAUUUUUUUUUUUUUUGGUACCAGAGAUCGAACUCAGGUCCUUUCGCUUGCGCAGCAGGCGGUGAAACCACUGAGCUAAAUCGCUGGCCCUUCAUUCUGAUUUUAAUCCUUGUUUUGGAUGCUUACUCUUUGACGUCACUCUUAUUUAGCUUUUAUGUUUGCUGUUUGUUUGUUUGUUUGUUUUGAGACAGGGUCUUGCUAUGUAGUUCAGGCUGGAUUUAAUUCUUUAUAUAACCCAUGUGAUCCUUAAACUCAUGGUGAUCCUCCUGCCUCAGCCUCCUGUAUACUGGGAUUACACAUGUGUGCUAUUUACUCUUAUUUAGGUAUGGGCCUGCCCUGCUUUUAGACUUACUUUGCCUUGCUGGCUACAGCUGACUCUUGGCUUGGACUUGCUCUUCUUGAAAUUCUUUGCCCCAGAUUCCAGUUUCUGUUCCUACUGCUUUUCCUAAAUUUCUAAUUAAAUUCAGUCCAUAAGAAAUUUGAAGGUUGA